This 30-nucleotide small RNA is filed under the name Bombyx mori (domestic silkworm). RNAcentral describes it as "ovarian small RNA-20299". The record is from RNAcentral. Lineage: Eukaryota; Metazoa; Arthropoda; Insecta; Lepidoptera; Bombycidae.
UACAGGACGUUCCACGGAGCAUAUUCCAAU